Long non-coding RNA from Varroa destructor (honeybee mite), 277 nucleotides. RefSeq lists it as uncharacterized. Lineage: Eukaryota; Metazoa; Arthropoda; Arachnida; Mesostigmata; Varroidae. The record is from RefSeq and is a predicted model, not a curated record.
GAAAUCACGGAAUCUAACACACACAGUGUUGUCUUAUUCAUCUGUUUUGAUACAACGAAGCGUCCCUGCCGCGACGCACACAAAUCUGAUUUCAAGAUUAGAGCGUGAACUUGUCACAAAGCAAAAAGCAACUUAACUUUCCGGAACUUUCGAGCUUCUUCACGGGCGCAUGGUGUAUGGCCUAUGUCUCAGUUGCAGGCCAGCAAGCACCUGCCUGGCGCCGCUAUGCCUGCCUCAACCGAAAAAAGCCACCCAAAAGUGGGCAGCGUCGGCCGCC